This is a long non-coding RNA of Glossina fuscipes, 625 nucleotides long. RefSeq lists it as uncharacterized. The record is from RefSeq and is a predicted model, not a curated record. The transcript has 3 exons. NCBI's taxonomy places the organism in Eukaryota, Metazoa, Arthropoda, Insecta, Diptera, Glossinidae.
AGUAUAUAUAUAUAUAUAUAUAUAUAUAUAUAUAUAUAUAUAUUUAUUAUAUACAAAAGGCUUAAAACCGUAAAUACGAAAUUGUAUUUAACGAAGCAAAACGAAAAAAUGAAAUGAGUUUACGCAUAAGUUAAUAAUGAAAACUUAAAACAACAACAAUAUAAAAAAAAAUUACUGUUGUGCAUAUUUAUUAAUCGCGAGUGUGCCAUAGCCAUUAUCAUCAUCAUCAUCGUCAGCGUUUAAUCAUCAUUGACUUCAGAUUCUCUUUAAGAGCUGAUAGUUUAUGAUUCCAUCGGCAACCCUACUAAGGUUAGAGAUGUAUCUUCGGAACAACAACAACAACAAAAAAAAAAACUAAUCAAUUAUUUAUCUGAGGCUUAACACUUAAACCUCAAUAAAUGGAAUGAUGAAAUUAAAUGAAAAAGCGAAAAAAAAAAAACCGAACCGUUGGCAAUCAAGUGAGAGAGUGUAAAAAAUCUAUAAAAGAUAUUAAAUAUUUUGAAAAAAGUUGCCGGUCGAUUACUAAAUCGAAGUCAAUUAAAGCCGCAUGCACAAUAAAUAAUUACAAUUUCUAAACAAAAACACGCAAUGACUACAACAAGAAAAGUGUACGCAAAAUAAAUUA